RNAcentral lists this unclassified non-coding RNA (19 nucleotides) under Mus musculus (house mouse). RNAcentral describes it as "oocyte_clustered_small_RNA3951". The record is from RNAcentral. Lineage: Eukaryota; Metazoa; Chordata; Mammalia; Rodentia; Muridae.
AGUACCACACCGCAAGCAG